RNAcentral lists this ribosomal RNA (253 nucleotides) under uncultured bacterium. RNAcentral's name for it is "partial 16S ribosomal RNA". It matches the Rfam family "Bacterial small subunit ribosomal RNA", at positions 524 to 776 of the family's 1533-position model. The record is from RNAcentral.
UACGUAGGGUGCGAGCGUUAAUCGGAAUUACUGGGCGUAAAGCGUGCGCAGGCGGUUUUGUAAGCCAGAUGUGAAAUCCCCGGGCUCAACCUGGGAAUGGCAUUGGAUACUGGCUCGCUGGAGUGCGGUAGAGGGUGGUGGAAUUCCCGGUGUAGCAGCGAAAUGCGUAGAGAUCGGGAGGAACAUCUGUGGCGAAGGCGGCCACCUGGACCAGCACUGACACUGAGGCACGAAAGCGUGGGGAGCAAACAGG